CCUACGGGGGGCAGCAGUGGGGAAUAUUGGACAAUGGGGGCAACCCUGAUCCAGCCAUGCCGCGUGUGUGAAGAAGGCCCUCGGGUUAUAAAGCACUUUCAGUGAGGAAGAACGCCUGGUGGUUAAUACCCAUCAGGAAAGACAUCACUCACAGAAGAAGCACCGGCUAACUCCGUGCCAGCAGCCGCGGUAAUACGGAGGGUGCGAGCGUUAAUCGGAAUUACUGGGCGUAAAGCGCGCGUAGGUGGCUUGAUAAGCCGGUUGUGAAAGCCCCGGGCUCAACCUGGGAACGGCAUCCGGAACUGUCAAGCUAGAGUGCAGGAGAGGAAGGUAGAAUUCCCGGUGUAGCGGUGAAAUGCGUAGAGAUCGGGAGGAAUACCAGUGGCGAAGGCGGCCUUCUGGACUGACACUGACACUGAGGUGCGAAAGCGUGGGUAGCAAACAGGAUUAGAUACCCGAGUAGUC
This 465-nucleotide ribosomal RNA is filed under the name Vreelandella stevensii. Its description in RNAcentral is "partial 16S ribosomal RNA". It matches the Rfam family "Bacterial small subunit ribosomal RNA", at positions 338 to 795 of the family's 1533-position model. Lineage: Bacteria; Pseudomonadati; Pseudomonadota; Gammaproteobacteria; Oceanospirillales; Halomonadaceae. The record is from RNAcentral.